This 348-nucleotide unclassified non-coding RNA is filed under the name uncultured Megasporoporia. RNAcentral's name for it is "sequence contains ITS1". The stretch from base 1 to 105 matches the Rfam family "5.8S ribosomal RNA", at positions 50 to 154 of the family's 154-position model. Lineage: Eukaryota; Fungi; Basidiomycota; Agaricomycetes; Polyporales; Polyporaceae. The record is from RNAcentral.
GAAAUGCGAUAAGUAAUGUGAAUUGCAGAAUUCAGUGAAUCAUCGAAUCUUUGAACGCACCUUGCGCUCCUUGGUAUUCCGAGGAGCAUGCCUGUUUGAGUGUCAUGAAUCUCUCAACCUAUAAGUCCUUGCGGCUUGUAGGAUUGGACUUGGAGGCUUGCCGGCAAGUUUAUCACUUUGUCGGCUCCUCUCAAAUGCAUUAGCUUGGUUCCUUGCGGAUCGGCUCUCAGUGUGAUAAUUGUCUACGCUGUGACCGUGAAGCGUUUGGCUAGCUUCUAACCGUCUCUCUAGAGACACUUGUAUCUGACCUCUGACCUCAAAUCAGGUAGGACUACCCGCUGAACUUAA